RNAcentral lists this ribosomal RNA (557 nucleotides) under uncultured bacterium. Its description in RNAcentral is "bacterial SSU rRNA". It matches the Rfam family "Bacterial small subunit ribosomal RNA", at positions 102 to 694 of the family's 1533-position model. The record is from RNAcentral.
ACGGGUGAGUAACGCGUGGGAAUCUACCUUUUGCUACGGAACAACAGUUGGAAACGACUGCUAAUACCGUAUGUGUCCUUCGGGAGAAAGAUUUAUCGGCAAAGGAUGAGCCCGCGUUGGAUUAGCUAGUUGGUGAGGUAAAGGCUCACCAAGGCGACGAUCCAUAGCUGGUCUGAGAGGAUGAUCAGCCACACUGGGACUGAGACACGGCCCAGACUCCUACGGGAGGCAGCAGUGGGGAAUAUUGGACAAUGGGCGCAAGCCUGAUCCAGCCAUGCCGCGUGAGUGAUGAAGGUCUUAGGAUUGUAAAGCUCUUUCACCGGUGAAGAUAAUGACGGUAACCGGAGAAGAAGCCCCGGCUAACUUCGUGCCAGCAGCCGCGGUAAUACGAAGGGGGCUAGCGUUGUUCGGAUUUACUGGGCGUAAAGCGCACGUAGGCGGAUUUUUAAGUCAGGGGUGAAAUCCCGGGGCUCAACCCCGGAACUGCCUUUGAUACUGGAAGUCUUGAGUAUGGUAGAGGUGAGUGGAAUUCCGAGUGUAGAGGUGAAAUUCGUAGA